CGAAAGCUUGCUUUUGAUGGGCGUCGACCGGCGCACGGGUGAGUAACGCGUAUCCAACCUGCCCAUCACUUGGGAAUAACCUUGCGAAAGUAAGACUAAUACCCAAUAAUAUCCCACGAAGGCAUCCGAAUGGGAUUAAAGAUUUAUCGGUGAUGGAUGGGGAUGCGUCUGAUUAGCUUGUUGGCGGGGUAACGGCCCACCAAGGCAACGAUCAGUAGGGGUUCUGAGAGGAAGGUCCCCCACAUUGGAACUGAGAUACGGUCCAAACUCCUACGGGAGGCAGCAGUGAGGAAUAUUGGUCAAUGGGCGAGAGCCUGAACCAGCCAAGUAGCGUGCAGGAAGACGGCCCUAUGGGUUGUAAACUGCUUUUAUAAGGGAAUAAAGUGAGUCUCGUGAGACUUUUUGCAUGUACCUUAUGAAUAAGGACCGGCUAAUUCCGUGCCAGCAGCCGCGGUAAUACGGAAGGUCCGGGCGUUAUCCGGAUUUAUUGGGUUUAAAGGGAGCGUAGGCCGGAGAUUAAGCGUGUUGUGAAAUGUAGAGGCUCAACCUCUGCACUGCAGCGCGAACUGGUCUUCUUGAGUACGCACAACGUGGGCGGAGUUCGUGGUGUAGCGGUGAAAUGCUUAGAUAUCACGAAGAACUCCGAUUGCGAAGGCAGCUCACGGGAGCGCAACUGACGCUGAAGCUCGAAAGUGCGGGUAUCGAACAGGAUUAGAUACCCUGGUAGUCCGCACGGUAAACGAUGGAUGCCCGCUGUUGACCUGAAUAGGUCAGCGGCCAAGCGAAAGCAUUAAGCAUCGCACCUGGGGAGUACGCCGGCAACGGUGCAACUCAAA
RNAcentral lists this ribosomal RNA (836 nucleotides) under uncultured bacterium. RNAcentral's name for it is "bacterial SSU rRNA". It matches the Rfam family "Bacterial small subunit ribosomal RNA", at positions 68 to 905 of the family's 1533-position model. The record is from RNAcentral.